Molecule: ribosomal RNA, 433 nt
Filed under: uncultured bacterium
Lineage: Bacteria
Description: partial 16S ribosomal RNA
Rfam family: Bacterial small subunit ribosomal RNA
Source: RNAcentral
AACGAACGCUGGCGGCAUGCCUAACACAUGCAAGUCGAACGAGACCUUCGGGUCUAGUGGCGCACGGGUGCGUAACGCGUGGGAACCUGCCCUUAGGUUCGGAAUAACUCCCCGAAAGGGGUGCUAAUACCGGAUAAUGUCUUCGGACCAAAGAUUUAUCGCCUUUGGAUGGGCCCGCGUUGGAUUAGCUAGUUGGUAGGGUAAAAGCCUACCAAGGCGACGAUCCAUAGCUUGUCUGAGAGGAUGAUCAGCCACACUGGGACUGAGACACGGCCCAGACUCCUACGGGAGGCAGCAGUGGGGAAUAUUGGACAAUGGGGGAAAGCCUGAUCCAGCAAUGCCGCGUGAGUGAUGAAGGCCUUAGGGUUGUAAAGCUCUUUUAACCGGGAUGAUAAUGACAGUACCGGGAGAAUAAGCUCCGGCUAACUCCGUG